AGGUCACUUCAAAGAGGGCUGUAUGCUGUUGAACAAACGGCUCUUAACGCAAUGACCUAAUAUGGAAAUCCUUUGCAGGAUGUCAGGGGUACUUUAUAUGUACUCUGUGGUCUAUCCCAGAGGAGACAUG
Non-coding RNA from Podarcis lilfordi (Lilford's wall lizard), 130 nucleotides. The record is from the annotation of a GenBank genome assembly. Lineage: Eukaryota; Metazoa; Chordata; Lepidosauria; Squamata; Lacertidae.